Molecule: transfer RNA, 574 nt
Filed under: Microcoleus autumnalis CB-V
Lineage: Bacteria; Bacillati; Cyanobacteriota; Cyanophyceae; Oscillatoriales; Microcoleaceae
Description: Phormidium autumnale CB-V partial 16S-23S ribosomal RNA intergenic spacer
Rfam family: tRNA (bases 285-357)
Source: RNAcentral
UAGGGAGACCAUCUGAUAAUAGACCGAACCUAAAAUAUAGGUCGUUGUCAGUCAUCCCUGGUCGUUCGAGGAAUAGAUGUCAAAGCUUUCAAACUAUUAACUGGUUCGGAACUCGCGGGCUAUUAGCUCAGUUGGUUAGAGCGCACCCCUGAUAAGGGUGAGGUCCCUGGUUCAAAUCCAGGAUGGCCCACCUGGAAAAAAAGUGAUGAAUUGUCAGUAAUGAGAAAUGGAUAAUCAAAGAUUAAUUCAGGACUCAUAAAAUCAAAAUCAGAACUUACAAGUGUGGGGGUAUAGCUCAGUUGGUAGAGCGCCUGCCUUGCACGCAGGAAGUCAGCGGUUCGAGUCCGCUUACCUCCACUCUCACUAACUAUUACAACCGCCAAAAAAACCCAAAAAAAUAGAAAUCAGCACCCAGACUAACUUUGUCAAAGAAGGUCAAAAAAGAAGUCGGAAUGCUGGAGUCUAAAACUCUAGUCAGAACCUUGAAAACUGCAUAGAAAUUAAGUCAUCAAAGCGUGUCUAUCAUCCGAGAAAUCGGAGCAUCAGACAAGCGACCACCAUGAAAAAAUCAAGU